Molecule: non-coding RNA, 623 nt
Organism: Pelodiscus sinensis (Chinese soft-shelled turtle)
Lineage: Eukaryota; Metazoa; Chordata; Testudines; Trionychidae
Source: RefSeq, a predicted model, not a curated record
CACCAGAGGAAAGGAACCAAAGAACCCAGAGUGAGGAACAGUCCUGUUUUUGGAAGGCUUUGCUGGAAAAGAAACAGUUUUAGGAGCUAUUUGUACAGCACCAACUAAUAAGAGAGGAGCUUCAAAAGAUUGUAUCAUACGCAUAAGCCCAGUCACCAAUGACAGGAAAUUUGGACCCCUCCUAUCCCUGCUCCUCUUCCCUCAUGUUCCAGGCCCCAAAUGCCUCUAGGUUUCUACUGCACAGAGGCAGAUGGACCACAGAAAGCCUGCAACCCUCUGCGAAUUAUUGGACAAGCCCCACACCACUUUACAGGACCUCGGGGGAAAUGUCAUGGACAAACUAAAGGGAGCAGGGGCUUAGCAGCUGGGCCAGCUGUGAAUGGGGUGCAUGCAACACCUCCCGUGCCAUCCUCCCAACCCUGUGAGACCCACUAGCAAAGGUGACCCCAGGAUGACCUGACAAGGGAAUAGCUGGAGUGCCUCCAUUCCCUCUACAGGAACUUUGAGGAGGACCACCAGGAGCACCAUACUGACCAGGAGCUGCAUCACACCAUCUGGGAGCAGCUAUCCCGGCAGAACAAGAACAUCCCUGAGCCCUCUUCCCCCUCCUUCCCUCUCCUGCG